RNAcentral lists this transfer RNA (54 nucleotides) under Selenops bursarius. RNAcentral's name for it is "tRNA-Trp". The record is from RNAcentral. Lineage: Eukaryota; Metazoa; Arthropoda; Arachnida; Araneae; Selenopidae.
AAGAUAUUAAGAUAUUUAUUCUGUUAGCUUUCAAGGUUAAAAGUGCAUCUAAUA